Molecule: long non-coding RNA, 574 nt
Filed under: Equus asinus (donkey)
Lineage: Eukaryota; Metazoa; Chordata; Mammalia; Perissodactyla; Equidae
Description: lncRNA (ENSEASG00005033003.1)
Source: RNAcentral
CACAGUCAUGGUUGUCUUCUGUGGGACCAACCUCUUCAUGUACGGGAAGCCCAAGUCUAAGGGCCUUGUGAGGGCAGACAAAGAGGACCUCUCCGAUGAGCUCAUCCCCCUCGUCUAUGGAGUGCUGGCCCCCAUGCUCAAUCCCGUCAUCUAUACCCUGAGGACAAGGACGUGAAGGCCACUGUGAGGAACCUGGUGGCUCAGAAAUACUUCAGCCAGUGAUGUAGGGGGUCGUCUGUGGUUCUCAUUGACGUGUAACAUAGGACUUCCAGUCAUGGCUGCCAUUCAAAAGCCAAGUCAAGAUAACUGGAAUGGUCUCUCGCCCAACUCUCAGAGCCUGCACUAUGGUAGAACACACUGUGAACGUCCCAGAGAUGGAAAGUCUGCAGCGUUUCCUGAACCCCCAUUGUUCAGCACAAUGAGAACUGGGAAGCAUGUUCGAAGCAAGCCCGACCUUGGCAGAUACACAAGAGUGACAUCUAGCGGCCACUCAAGCGAACUUCAGACACUUGCCCAGCCAUGCAGGAGCAUCGUUUCUGACGAAGGCUUCAGAGGUCUGCUCGUUCAAUCCUAC